This is a long non-coding RNA of Catharus ustulatus (Swainson's thrush), 2770 nucleotides long. RefSeq lists it as uncharacterized. Lineage: Eukaryota; Metazoa; Chordata; Aves; Passeriformes; Turdidae. The transcript has 2 exons. The record is from RefSeq and is a predicted model, not a curated record.
GCUCCCUGUGGUGUAACACAGGUUCUCCUAUAGCCCCAAAACCAGAGUCCAACCUUCUAUUCACAGCUCAAAAUUUACACUUUUGCUGUUGCCAGCUUCAGUUUCUCAUUAUUUGCCUCAUCCCAUGCAUUCAAGAGGACUGUGUUCAUACGGCUUAUUUGGUGGUGAAAAACAAAUCCAACUCUCUACAAACAAACACACAAAGACACCCCGGGUGGACACCAUAUAAACACUAAUAUAUUUCUAAUUCAAGCUUUGAGAAAACAAAGGCACAGUGAUUAAAGGCUGGAAACAUGCAGCCAGUGUAUGGAGACUGAGCAAGUGCCCUAGAACAAGUUGAAUGUUUCCAUUUUGUGAAGCUCAUUCACUAUAGUUAUAAGAUGCAGGGCAGACAUUUGCAUUUCUAGAGUGGUAUCUUGACUUUUUUAGAUUAUUCAUGGGAUCCAGAUCCUUUCUAAAUGGCAUCAAGCUCACAUUUCUUGAUAAUCUGCCUCUCUUUCUUUCAGUACUCUGCCUCUUUUCUUCUCCUCUCCAUGAACGUCAUUAAAGUUUGUAUUCCAUGUGUCUAGAACUCAGGGGCUUCUCAUUUUUGUUUAAAAGGGCACUGCUUCCUAUGACCAAGCACUGCAAAAAGAGAUACAACUGCAUGCAAUCAGAAAAACUAAGAAUAAAUUAAUUUAUUGUAUCCAGUUUCAAAGCUGCUGCCUCCUAAUUCACAUUCCCUAUUCCCCAUUCCUCCCAACAGACCCAACCCAAAGCCUACCCCAACAUUUCUUUGAUUUUUUCCCUCCUUCACCCCAGCCUAAAAUCAAAUUUGGAAAUGCACAUCUUCUUUGGAGUGGCAGGAAGAGCCAGCAGUACAAUAAACCAAGCCAAAUGCUCCCCCUCCUUUUUUUCCUAGAUAACACAGAAUCCUCCUGAAAUGAACAAAUGUAACUGAACAGAUACAGACUUCCCAUGGGAUCAAACCAUCAGUUCCUCAGCAUACACAGAAAGAAGAGAGAAAUUAAAUGGUUGCAUUUCUCCCAAGGGAAGGCAGAUCUUCAGUGGUGAAGUAUUCCCAUCAGAAAUUCUGGGUUGCAUAAAAAGCAAUCUACAGACCAAAAAAUGUGGUAAAGUCCAUGACCAGAGAUGGGAAACACACCUCUAAAAAGAGAUGCUACAGAUCUGAAGAAAAAAAGUGUUCAAAGAAACUGGAAGGAAUGGCAGAAAGACACAGAAAUAUAUUUCUCACAACAGCACUCUUGCAAUUCUGCUGCCAAUGGAGAGAAAAUAGUUGAAGUAGAAAACCUCUGAGAGAUUUUCCUCCUGCAUCAUAAAAUAAAACUGUUUAUUACAAACUAUGGAAUGAGAAUGAUGAACAGUUAUGUGGGUGUUGCAGAAGUAAAGGGAGCAGAAGGAUGAGUUGACAAUGGACUUCUAUCUCAAGACUCCCUACUUUCUCAUACAAUAUAUACAGGAUGAUAACCUCAAUAAUUUCUCUGUUCCUUCCCAGGAUGUCUGAGCAUCUGUACAUCAUUCAAAGGAAUGCCUAUGAUCCACUGAAACGCCUCAAGAGGUAGGAACUCUAAGUAUACAUGUGGAAGGAAACUGCAACAGCUAAAACUGAAGUCACAGGAAGUAAAAGUUGGAAACUGAAGCUCCAUAUCACGAACACAAAACUUUAGCUAUUGAGAGCACCUUCACUCCUCAUUUAAUUUUUCCCUCGGUUGCACCACUUCAUUUGCCAUGAGGAGUAUCAAAAAACAUAACUGUGAAUGAUCACAGUCCUCUCUUUAUCCAACCUGAGGGCUGACUGUGCAGGCAGGCUGGCUGCCACAGAACUCAGGAAGCAACAGAACUGCAGGGGUUUUCUGCCUUUCAAGCAGGGAGUGUUCAAAGAGGUAGGCUAUCAAAUAAUGUCUUAAUGUCUUACCAAAAACAUAAGGUAAUGUUCAAAACCUGGCUGAAUGAAUACCACCUGAACAAUUAUAACAUCACCCUUUUUUUUUUUCAAUAUAAUGGCCUAGUUGCUCUAGGGACAUGGGUCGUUUAGAUAGAUUUUUUAAAAAUUAACUUCCCCUCCCUAGUCCUCCCCACCUUCCCCAAACAAAGAAUGCUGUGUGAGUACACACAUGCGAGAAAUCAAAAGCCAACUUAGACAGUUUGAGAAUCCCAAGGAAUGCCACUUGACUAGAUACAGAUAAUUGAUCAUUCAUAAUAAGAUAAGGACACAGCAUGUAAUAUUUUUCUGUUAAUGAGACUUCAGAGAAUGCAUGAAGAAACUAUUUAGAAUGACUGAAUUGCACAAAUACAUUAGCAGAUGUAGAAAAUAAUGUGUAAAUUUAAGAAAAAAGGGAAUUACAUGCUUUCAUUCUAACUUAAUGGAAAUGCAAAUGAUAAGACAAUGCUUAAAGAGAAAGAAAGGUAUACAGCAGUGUUGGGAAAGAACAUUAAAGAGAUAAAAGAGCUGCUAAUGAAGGACUUUGUAGAUCCUUGAAACUAAGACAGUUACACAACCAUUAUUGUUGAGGCCAAAAAGACGGUAACAAGCAAUAAAUAACAUAGAUUGUGCCAAUGACAGUAAAUAAGAUGGAAUGUAGAACGUGAUAGAACAGACUGGGCCCAUUUCAAAACAACAACAACAACAGGAGAGGAGCUCAGUGGCUAAGGAGAAGGCAAUGACACACAACAUUGCUAUUGCUUUCACAUUGCUUUCUUGGUGCUUUUCCAUCAAGAUGGAAAUGAUUAUUUAAUGCACAUAUAAAAUGGAAAUUAUCUGCAAAAUUUA